Long non-coding RNA from Marmota monax (woodchuck), 1591 nucleotides. RefSeq lists it as uncharacterized. The transcript is spliced from 5 exons. NCBI's taxonomy places the organism in Eukaryota, Metazoa, Chordata, Mammalia, Rodentia, Sciuridae. The record is from RefSeq and is a predicted model, not a curated record.
CCCGAGCGCUCUCUCCACUCGCGGGAGCGGCGUUGCCGGGGUCUGAGCCGGAGAUGCCCAAGCGCGGCCGGGGGUCCCGGGACUCAAGCGAUCAAGGUCACGGUGCCAAAGGUCAGGGACACAGCAUGAACCCAGACAUAACAUCUUUGUUUGUAUGUGGUGCUGAGGAUCGAACCCGGGCCGCACGCAUGCCAGAAUCCACUCUGCCGCCAAGGGACUCAACUCGGACCUGACCACUGAGAGCCUCCUGUUGUCUCUGUCAGAGAAAUUGGUUCAGAAACAGGCACGGGACCUCUUCUGAACUGGUGUCUGUGCUCCAGGAGGUCAUUGUUGGCUGUUGGCUGCCUACCCCUGGGUCUCCAAAACCAGCUCACAAUGUGACAGCUGGCUUCAAUCAAAGCAAGCAAGGGACAACCAGAGAUGGGGAGCAAGACUGGAGCCAGAGUCUCCCCGGGCUUAGUCUCAGAGGGGACGUCCAUCACUUCUGUUCCUCAGGAGCAAGUCAUCAAGGCUUCGGUGGAGGGGGUCACACAAGGAUGUGGACACCAGCAGGCUGGAGUGGCCGGGCCCUUGGAGAGCAUGCCUACCCCGCAGAACAAGGAUUCAUUCCCGGCCCAUGACGUGCCCGAGUCUAGAGCCUUGCCCUGUCAGGAACGAGCUACAGGCCUGGGCAAGUGGCUUACCUUCAUGUCCCUACAAUUUCUCAGCUGUUAAAUGGGGAUUAGAUGGCACCAACGGAAAGGCGGCGUUGUUUUACACCCAUUAAGAAAGAAUACCUGUCGCCCACUCAUGGGAACACGCAGCCCUACUUCAGAGAGAGCUAAAUGUGGGGAGAGAAGUGUGACAUUAAUGACACAUGCUAGUAUCGACUUCCUGAAUGAUGGAUGCCAUUUAAGGUUGUGGUGAUGGGAGAAGGCUGCAGACAGGGGCAGGCUCCCCAGACAGUUCUCAUAAGGCAGCCAGUGACGUUAAUCUGUGUCUGCACACUGUGCACAAGACCUUGGGUGAGGCCCAAGAGUGAGGCGGGUAGAAUCUCUGCCCUGGAAAAGGAGGGAUUCUCAGACACAUAAGGAAGUGCCUUGGGAGAGGCCAAGUGCAGGAGGAUGCAUCCUUGAGGAGAAUCUGAAAAACCAGCCUCUACCUCAGACAAAGACCCACAGAGCACUCCGAGGCACAUAUCCACCCUGCUGAGUUCUUUAUCUGCAAAUAACAGGAGAGAUCUGCUGUGCUGGAUGUCCCUGACUCAAUCAGGCUAGGUGGGGACCCAUAGCAACCCCUAGCAGCCACCAAUCUGCAUGGGACAGGGAAAAUACCUGGGAUGCCAGAUGACCCUCCCAGUAGUUUAUGGUGGUUGAUAACAUGUUGGGAAACCAUGUAUUUCAGCAAGUACUCCCCUCGUAGCUUAAACCAAUCAGUUCAACGAAUCCCCCUCUUGUACUAACCAAACACCCCUACCCAACUUGUUCCUGCCAUUGAAUGUGCUAAUCAUGUUUUAGAAUUGUUGUUUGAUUUUCCCGCGGUGGGUGAUGAUUUGCUAAGAGAUGCUAUGAUAUAUGUGAAGACCCUGCCUUCCCCAAAGAGUGUAUAAAAC